UCGAGCGGUAACAGAUGCUAGCUUGCUAGAUGCUGACGAGCGGCGGACGGGUGAGUAACGCAUAGGAAUCUGCCCGGUAGUGGGGGAUAACCUGGGGAAACCCAGGCUAAUACCGCAUACGUCCUACGGGAGAAAGCGGGGUUUCGGCCUCGCGCUAUCGGAUGAGCCUAUGCCGGAUUAGCUGGUUGGUGAGGUAAUGGCUCACCAAGGCGACGAUCCGUAGCUGGUCUGAGAGGAUGAUCAGCCACAUCGGGACUGAGACACGGCCCGAACUCCUACGGGAGGCAGCAGUGGGGAAUAUUGGACAAUGGGGGCAACCCUGAUCCAGCCAUGCCGCGUGUGUGAAGAAGGCCCUCGGGUUGUAAAGCACUUUCAGCGAGGAAGAACGCCUUGUGGUUAAUACCCGCAAGGAAAGACAUCACUCGCAGAAGAAGCACCGGCUAACUCCGUGCCAGCAGCCGCGGUAAUACGGAGGGUGCAAGCGUUAAUCGGAAUUACUGGGCGUAAAGCGCGCGUAGGCGGCUUAAUAAGCCGGUUGUGAAAGCCCCGGGCUCAACCUGGGAACGGCAUCCGGAACUGUUAAGCUAGAGUGCAGGAGAGGAAGGUAGAAUUCCCGGUGUAGCGGUGAAAUGCGUAGAGAUCGGGAGGAAUACCAGUGGCGAAGGCGGCCUUCUGGACUGACACUGACGCUNAGGUGCGAAAGCGUGGGUAGCAAACAGGAUUAGAUACCCUGGUAGUCCACGCCGUAAACGAUGUCGACCAGCCUUUGGGUGCCUUGAGCACUUUGUGGCGAANUUAACGCGAUAAGUCGACCGCCUGGGGAGUACGGCCGCAAGGUUAAAACUCAAAUGAAUUGACGGGGGCCCGCACAAGCGGUGGAGCAGGUGGUUUAAUUCCAUGCAACGCCAAAAACCUUACCUACC
RNAcentral lists this ribosomal RNA (923 nucleotides) under Halomonas sp. RNAcentral describes it as "bacterial SSU rRNA". It matches the Rfam family "Bacterial small subunit ribosomal RNA", at positions 62 to 979 of the family's 1533-position model. The record is from RNAcentral. Lineage: Bacteria; Pseudomonadati; Pseudomonadota; Gammaproteobacteria; Oceanospirillales; Halomonadaceae.